RNAcentral lists this long non-coding RNA (2462 nucleotides) under Fukomys damarensis (Damara mole-rat). RNAcentral describes it as "lncRNA (ENSFDAG00000021596.1)". The record is from RNAcentral. Lineage: Eukaryota; Metazoa; Chordata; Mammalia; Rodentia; Bathyergidae.
GCAAAAGAUUCUGCCCCGUGUGUGGCUGAGCACGUGAGGAUGGAUAGGCGAAUUUAGACUCACAAGGGCGCUUGGGUACAGGGCUUGGGCACACACGUGCUGCAGCUCCGCAGAAGGGUAGCUCUGCAGGGUGCUGACCGUUUCCCGGGCUUGGCCCAGCAUCAGGGCUGGAGAGGGCCCAGCCAGCAAACUUAUGUGUCCUCCUGCAGAUUUUCAAGCACAUCCUGCAGCGGGAGUUCCCAGCACCGUGCCAGGCCCUUUCGCGCAAGUUUACCGAGUGGUGUUACGGGCCUGUCCGGGUAUCACUCUAUGACUUGGCCUCCGUGGACAGCUGCGAGGAGAACUCGGUGCUGGAGAUCAUCGCCUUUCACUGCAGGAGCCCACACCGACACCGCAUGGUAGUUUUGGAGCCACUGAACAAACUGCUGCAGGCAAAAUGGGAUCAGUUCAUCUCCAAGUUCUUCUUCAACUUCCUGUGCUAUCUGAUCUACGUGCUCAUCUUCACUGCUGUUGCCUACCACCAGCCAGCCCUGGAGCAGCAGGCCUCCUCAUGGCUGGACUCAUCGCCCAGAACCUCCAUGCUCCUGGUGGGCCACAUCUUGAUCCUCCUUGGGGGGAUCUACCUCCUCCUUGUCCAGCUCUGGUACUUCUGGCGUCGCCGCCUGUUCAUCUGGAUCUCAUUUGUGGACAGCUACUUUGAAAUCCUCUUCCUGGCCCAGGCCCUGCUCACGGUGCUAUCCCAGGUCUUGUGUUUCAUGUCCAUUGAGUGGUACCUGCCCCUGCUUGUGUCCUCGCUGGUGCUGGGCUGGCUGAACCUGCUGUACUAUACACGCGGCUUCCAGUACACGGGCAUCUACAGUGUCAUGAUCCAGAAGGUGAGAGAUGGGGCAGGGCUGGACACCACAGCACAGAGGGACUCCCUUUGGCCCCAGGAAGCAGGGUUCUUCCUCCACAGCGAUCCUGAGCAGAGGAGAGCACGAGCAUGUCUGCCUGAGUGUCACUCACCCAGAUGCUCGCCAAAUGUUCAUGCAAGUGCUGUAUGGGCAUGCAGGGACACAGAGACACACGCACAUGUGUGUUUGCAGGCACCCACACGGGAGCACAUGCACCCUUCUUCACAAAGAAGCGGAGGAUACGCUCAUAUGUAUGUCUGUGCCUGGGAACAGGAGGGCAUCUGCAGCCAUCCAUUUAUUCCAUAAAUGUUUAAGGAGCACCCAGUGCAGGCCAGGCCUUGAUGUAAAUGUUGGUAAUAACAAGAGUGAGCAAAAGAGACAAGUCUUUGCGCUCCUGGGGCUGACGGUCCAGUGGGGAAAAACACUAAGGAAACCACUGCCUACACGGCCAACUGUUAAACUGUAUAAAGGAACAUCAUGGGACAAUAUGAUGGAAGACAGAUGGGGUGGAGGGUGCUUUAGAGAGCUGAUGUCUAAGUGGAGAUCUGAUAGAACAAUUGGUCACAGUAGAGUCAAGGUCAAGGAGGAAGCAUCCUUCACAGAGAUAAUAACAAAGGUGAAGAUGGUGAGUCAGGACGAGGUGCAUGCAUGAGGCAGAGGCAAGAGGCCAGGCAGAUGGGGAGAGAGGCAAAGUGGAGAAGAAGUUGGCAAGGCAGGUCAGGAUCAGGGGCUUUGCACAGUGAGAAGUCAAGAGCCUAGCCAAGAAAGGCUGAGAUGGAAUGAUAGCCAUUUGUUUUAGGCCAGCCUGGGCACCAUUUUGAGUUCAAGGCUAGACUGAACUACAUGAGACCUUAUCUAAAGAUAAAUAAAUAAAUAAAUGAAUAAAAAUAAAUUAAAAAAGAAAAGCCUAAUAUAAACAUUUACCAAGCUUGUCGUGGUUGCACACACCUGUAAUCCCUGCACUGUGCAGGCUGAGAUCUGUGGCCAGCUUGAGCUGCACAGUUCAGGUAUAGCCUGAAUUGCAAAGGAGACCGUGCCUCAAAAAAGAAAGAAACAAAAAAAAUUUACCAUUUUGCUGGGCAUUUAGGUCCAUGGUGAUCCACCUGUCUGGCAAGGGCUAAGUCCUGAGUUUGAUUUUCAGAAUUGGAAAAAAAAAGCAAAAGCAACAUGUACCAUUUUAAGUGUACGGGUAAGUGGUAUUAAACACAUUCCCAUUGUUAUGCAGCCGUCAUCAUCAUUUCCAGAACGGUUUCAUCUUUUUUUUGGUAGUCGUGACGGAACUCGGGUCUUUAUGCUUUUGAGGCAUGCGGUCAAAGCACUGAGCUAAAUCCCUGGCCUGGAACUAUUUCAUCUUAGUAAAGAAACUUGAUGCCCAUUAAACAACACAUUUUUCGCCUUCUCUCAGCCUGGGAACCAUCAUUUCCUUUCUGUCUGUAUGAUUUACUGGUUCUAGAAACUUCAUGUAAAUGGAAUCACAUAGUACUUGUCCAGUGAGUAGCUUAUUUCACUUACCACAGUGUCUUCAAGGUUCAUCCAUACUGCAGCAUGUGACAGAUUUACUUCGUCUUA